Molecule: transfer RNA, 76 nt
Filed under: Sphaerodactylus townsendi
Lineage: Eukaryota; Metazoa; Chordata; Lepidosauria; Squamata; Sphaerodactylidae
Description: tRNA-Ser
Source: RNAcentral
GGAGGGAUCGUGGCUCAGAGGUAAGAGCAUCAGUUUCGAAUGCAGAAGGUCACUGGUUCCAUCUCCAGCACCUCCA